UGGCUCAGAGGUUAAAGCGUCUGCCUGGAAUGCGGGAGUCCAGGGUUCGAUCCCUG
RNAcentral lists this transfer RNA (56 nucleotides) under Bos taurus (domestic cattle). Lineage: Eukaryota; Metazoa; Chordata; Mammalia; Artiodactyla; Bovidae. RNAcentral also lists the same sequence under 4 other names. The record is from Rfam by way of RNAcentral.